Molecule: ribosomal RNA, 611 nt
Filed under: uncultured bacterium
Lineage: Bacteria
Description: bacterial SSU rRNA
Rfam family: Bacterial small subunit ribosomal RNA
Source: RNAcentral
UGCGGCGGAUUAGGUAGUUGGUGGGGUAACGGCCUACCAAGCCGAUGAUCCGUAGGGGGCGUGAGAGCGUGGCCCCCCACACUGGCACUGAGACACGGGCCAGACUCCUACGGGAGGCAGCAGUGAGGAAUAUUGCACAAUGGGCGCAAGCCUGAUGCAGCAACGCCGCGUGAGGGACGAAGGCCUUCGGGUUGUAAACCUCUUUUCUGAGGGACGAGGAAGGACGGUACCUCAGGAAUAAGUCUCGGCUAACUACGUGCCAGCAGCCGCGGUAAAACGUAGGAGGCGAGCGUUAUCCGGAUUUACUGGGCGUAAAGCGCGCGCAGGUGGCUUCGUGAGUCGGACAUGAAAGCUCCUGGCUUAACUGGGAGAGGCUGUUCGAUACUGCGGGGCUUGAGGUUGGGAGAGGGACGCGGAAUUCCCGGUGUAGUGGUGGAAUGCGUAGAUAUCGGGAGGAACACCAGUGGCGCAAGCGGCGUCCUGGCCCACACCUGACGCUGAGGUGCGAAAGCGUGGGUAGCAAACAGGAUUAGAUACCCUGGUAGUCCACGCUGUAAACGAUGUCAACUGGGUGUCGGUAGUUUUACACUAUCGGUGCCGAAGCUAACGCG